GUGCAGAGCUGGCCCUAACCUAGUCUCUCUGGGAACCCAGGCUGUUUCACAAACCGGGCUCCCAGGAGCCUGCCCUGGGGAGGCAGCGGCAUCUGCUGAGGCCCCACGUGGGCUCCAGAAGGCAAAGGUCUGGUGGAGACCACCAGGUUUCUCUGUGUGGAGUGUGGAGGGGCCUCAGGACCCAGUCGGCCCCCCACAUCCAAGGCAGGGAGCACUGAUGAGCUGGGAUGGGGGGAUUCCAGGAUGGAGGCCAGGGGACUCGACCGCCUGGUUCUGUUCUGUCCCGCGGUCAACAGACGCGUGCUCUGCAUUUCCCUGGAGCAGAGCAGGCGGCCCAGGCUGGAACCCUGGCUGGAGGUGGCCAGCCAGUGAGGCUGCCUAUAUACCCCCAGCAGGCCAAAGAGCAGAGGGUCGGUUGGUCCAUGCCAGCCUCCAGCCCUGCCCUGCCGUGGAGGCCCUGGCCUCAGAAACAAGCCUGGGCACGUGGAGCGUAAGUAUACAGCGUGGACUCUGCAGACAGGGCGGUGGCACCAGCACAGCUGGAGCCCAGCCAAGCCCACCCCUCCAGGCUGCACCUGUGCCCAGGACCCAGGGUCUGCCGGUCUGUCACUGUGUAACCACCCGCUCUCAGUGCCAGCCAUGGGCCAGCUUCUGUGGGUGGAGAGCAUGGCCACCCAGCAGCUGCACCCUGCAGCCAGGGUCCAGCCAGGGCUGUGGCCUCAUCACAAAGGCUUGCCUGGAGAAGACGCACUGCCCAGCCUACGUGAUUAUCACAGGACUCGGGGUCUUGGUUUCUCGCUGGUUAUCAGCCCGGGUGCCUCAGGACCUUGCCAGGGCCACUUGCUUCCUCAAGCCAAGGGGAGAGAGGCUGCAGAAGAUGCAAUUGCAACCUGUGUGUGUGUGUGCGUGCGUGUGUGUGUGUGUCUGUGUGUGCGUUACUGGGGAUUGACCCAGGGGUGCUCCGCCACUAAGCCAUACCCCUCCUUGGUUUUUAUUUGAGGUAAGGUUUCCAUAUGUUGCUCAGGCUGGACUCGA
Molecule: long non-coding RNA, 1035 nt
Filed under: Marmota monax (woodchuck)
Lineage: Eukaryota; Metazoa; Chordata; Mammalia; Rodentia; Sciuridae
Source: RNAcentral